CCUACGGGAGGCAGCAGUGGGGAAUAUUGGGCAAUGGGCGCAAGCCUGGCCCAGCAACGCCGCGUGAAGGAAGAAGGCUUUCGGGUUGUAAACUUCUUUUCUCAGGGACGAAGCAAGUGACGGUACCUGAGGAAUAAGCCACGGCUAACUACGUGCCAGCAGCCGCGGUAAUACGUAGGUGGCAAGCGUUAUCCGGAUUUACUGGGUGUAAAGGGCGUGUAGGCGGGACUGCAAGUCAGAUGUGAAAACCAUGGGCUCAACCUAUGGCCUGCAUUUGAAACUGUAGUUCUUGAGUACUGGGGAGGCAGAAGGAAUUCCUGGUGUAGCGGUGAAAUGCGUAGAUAUUAGGAGGAACACCAGUGGCGAAGGCGGUUUGCUGGACAGCAACUGACGCUGAGGCGCGAAAGCGUGGGGAGCAAACAGGAUUAGAUACCCUGGUAGUC
Molecule: ribosomal RNA, 443 nt
Filed under: uncultured bacterium
Lineage: Bacteria
Description: partial 16S ribosomal RNA
Rfam family: Bacterial small subunit ribosomal RNA
Source: RNAcentral